RNAcentral lists this ribosomal RNA (497 nucleotides) under uncultured bacterium. RNAcentral's name for it is "partial 16S ribosomal RNA". It matches the Rfam family "Bacterial small subunit ribosomal RNA", at positions 28 to 507 of the family's 1533-position model. The record is from RNAcentral.
GAUGAACGCUGGCGGCGUGCCUAAUACAUGCAAGUCGAGCGAACAGACGAGGCUCUUGCUCCUCUGACGUUAGCCGCGGACGUGUGAGUAACACGUGGAUAACCUACCUAUCAGACUGGGAUAACUUCGGGAAACCGGCGCUAAUCCCGUAUAACAUGCUGAACCGCAUGGUUCAACAGUGAAAGACGGUCUUGCUGUCACUUCUCGCUGGAUCCGCGCCGCAUUAGCUAGUUGGUAGGGUAACGGCUUAUCAAGGCAACGAUGCGUAGCCGACCUGAUGGGGGGAUAGGCGACACUGGAAGGGGGACAGGGUCAAGACUACUAAGGGAGGGAGCAGAAGGGAAUGUGACGCAAUGGGCGAGAGCAUGACGGAGUAACGGCGAGUGAGUGAAGAAGGUGUUGGGAGCGGAAAACUCGGUUAUGAGGGAAAAACAAAUGUGGAAGGAAAUAAGCACGGAGUGACGGUACCGAAUCAGAAAGCAACGGCUAACUACGUG